GAACGCGAUUCGGGUGUUUGAGUUGUCACCCUGGACAACCAGACUUUCACCUAUGAUGUUCUUGCGAACUAUAGAGAGCAAGUCUUGUAUCAGAUCAACGAAAAAGACAAAACCUGCCA
This is a non-coding RNA of Labrus bergylta (ballan wrasse), 119 nucleotides long. The record is from RefSeq and is a predicted model, not a curated record. NCBI's taxonomy places the organism in Eukaryota, Metazoa, Chordata, Actinopteri, Labriformes, Labridae.